Molecule: long non-coding RNA, 1767 nt
Organism: Oryctolagus cuniculus (rabbit)
Lineage: Eukaryota; Metazoa; Chordata; Mammalia; Lagomorpha; Leporidae
Source: Ensembl
GUGAGGGUCAAAUCCCAAAUCUAUUACCAUUGACAAACAACCUAUGUUAUCAUCUCAGCCUUUGGGUUCUUUUUAGUAACAGAAGAUGUAACUAGGAAGAAGGGAAAAUUUCCAUCAUUGCUAGGAUUUGGUGAGGAUAUAGAAUGUUUAUGACUCCAAGACAUCUUUGAGUUAAUGUUCAUUAAUCUCCUUAGAUACUGUAAGCAAUGUAACUCAAGAAACUGCCAUAGCAAAACUAGUAAUCAGUGUAUUGUCUAUUCAAGACUGCAUGUCUUAUGUAUUGUUAUCAAAUUCACAUUAAGUAAAAUGUACAUAGUUCAAGUGCACUAUGUUUUAGAUUCUCCUUCACUACAAUUUGAAAAGAUUCAUUGUUUAAAUCAUUCUUUUCCCACUUCAUUAUCUACAAGUUCAACAUGACUUUAUAACAGUUGCUGAGAUUAAAUCUCACAGUAAGCAACUCAAGAAAAGUUCAAAGUGAACUAGAAAAAAUAAAUCAAAAAUCAUCAGGAAAGAUAUAAAAACUGUUUUCUAAAUUAUGAGAAGUACUUCGAAGACUGUGAUAAGGUUAAGCACCACAAUCAAAUCCAUUAGAUUAGUGAAAUCAUUGGCUAUCGUCACUUAGAAUCAUAAAAUAACUUUCUUCCCUUUUAUUUAACAUUGUAGACAUCAACAGAAACAGCUCUUUUUAAACUGAUAACCAUAACUCAGAAUUAGAAAUUUCAAGCAGCCGCUCCAGUCCUCCUUGGAAACCUCGAGGAGUCGUCCCUUUCCCUUCCUUCCCACAGAGAUAACCGUCUUUCUAUUCCACACAGGCCCAGAAUCAACUGCAAGAGGGGCCAACACAUGCACAGCAGCGCGUCAGGGUUUGGCUUUGCUGGGGUGCUCCGGGCUCCGAUUGUUUCCAAAGUGGGGAUCUUCUCUUCCGGAGGGCGGAGGCGAAGCAAGCCGGGGGGUGGGCGGGGGGGUGGGGAAAAAGGCGCCCCGAAAGCUCGCUUGGGUCCUGAAAAUUAUUCUGAAGGCAAAGUACCUGCGCUCUCCCGGCCGAGGCAGGCUGUCAGCGCCGCGCGAGGGGAGGAGGCUGAGCAGGAGGCGGAGGAGGAGCGGGCGCGCUGGGAGGGGAGCGCCGGGUGGGGGAGGCCGGGGAGCGGCUCCGGAGAGAAGACGCCGCCAAGACGGCGAGGAGGCGGCUGGUCUCCGUCAGGGCGAGGCACUGCCCCACGCGCUCGGGCCGCCGGCUGCGGGCGAGGCGGGGCGGGGGGCGGGGGCGGCGAGCAUUCCGGCCGCUCCGGCACUCGCUUGUCUUCUCGCUCGCGCUCCCUUUUCCUCCACACAUGCAACACACCCCACGUCUCCAGCUGCAGCCACUUGGCCGCACGCACUCACCUGCAUUUCCUUAACGAGCCACUUGAUGGCUGCCAGCGGCGCGGGCCCCGCUCUGGCGGCCCGGAGCCGGGGCGGGGAGGACGCGGCGCGGGAUGCUCCGAGCGCCGGCUCGGGAGGCGGCGGCCGCGGCGGUGCGGGUGCGCGAGCUGGGGCGGGAGGCGGGGAAGUUGGGCGCAGCCCGACCGGCAACUGGCCCGGAGACCCGGGGGCCUUGGCUGGACUCCAGGACUCUGGGCUAGAACGGUGCGCGCGGGGAGCGGAGGACACAUCGGGCACAGGCUCUUCCCUUCCCGACCGCUAAAGCCACGGAGGACUUGGCCAGAUGGUUUGCUACCAAGAAAACUGCUCAGGAACCCUCACAACACAAUGAACAAACUGAUUUGA